AAGAGGACUUCGAGGGAACUCCCGGCGAAGCGUCUUAGAGUUAAUUUCUCAAACUUUGACUUUUGAUACUUGGUGAGUAUCAAGUGCAUGUGAAGUGUUUAAAUGAAAUGAUUCUUGUACUUGCUAGUUAAUGAGGCUAGGGCGUACUUUAUCGCCCUUGUCCUCUCUUUCAUGAGAUUGCUUGCUUGACAAGUGAUACGUGUUACAUGUGAAUGCAAAUGAAAGUGUUUUUCGUGAGCAUUGAGCGGCAGAAUGUAUCAUGCCCUUUUUGGGUAGGAGGUACCGCUCAUCCCGUCUCAAUGCUAUGACCAAAUCUUGUCGAUUGGAGCUUCGUCUCAUCGACCUAAAAGUGAAUGGGGGGGACGCUCCAACCCAUUGGCUAGCCUUGUAACUCGAGCCGGCAAGGGCUUGGUCGAGAAACUUGGUGAACCUUGGGAAGUGUUAUAGCUUGAUCCAAAUAAGGGGUCUUGCUAGGUAUACUUAUUAAGUGAUACCACCUACAUGCUUGUUUGGUUACGGAUCGGUGUCAUGGUGGCUGGAGGUAGUAAGUGGAGUUCUACAUGGAUAACUGUGAAAGUUGACGGAGGGUCAACUACCUGAGCUUGGAUCGCGCGUGGAUUAGCUCCUGAGAGCUCUCGUAUCCUUUUAUUGUGAUUAAAUUCCCUAAUUGCUUAAUGUUUCGCAGUUACUUGUUACUCGAGUUAUUGUUUUAUAUUGUGUCUUUGCUAGCAUGCUUGUAUGUUUUUCCCUUGGCCUCACUGAGCGUUAGCUCACCCCAAUUUGUUUUCCUUAACAGUUUGGAAGUGGAAGUUUUGAGGCUUAAUUAAUGACCCCCAAAAAUAAUUUUUUCCCACAAGACUCGAGGCCAAAGAAAGCGUUUGUAUUGAGUGAUUAGUGCCUGAAGGGAUAUCUCAUAUAUAAUUUGAAUUCGAUUCACUUGAUAAGUAUUUGAUGUAAUUAUAUGAGAACUGAGGACUUUUGUCUUAUUCGGGGAAUGAUACCCUUACUUGAGAUUUGUAAUGUAUCUUAUCUCGUUCUAAGUUUGA
Molecule: long non-coding RNA, 1046 nt
Filed under: Coffea arabica (coffee)
Lineage: Eukaryota; Viridiplantae; Streptophyta; Magnoliopsida; Gentianales; Rubiaceae
Description: long non-coding RNA (CARA_LNC007148)
Source: RNAcentral